This 215-nucleotide long non-coding RNA is filed under the name Lathyrus oleraceus (garden pea). RNAcentral describes it as "Pisum sativum (pea) long non-coding RNA (PSAT_LNC025911)". Lineage: Eukaryota; Viridiplantae; Streptophyta; Magnoliopsida; Fabales; Fabaceae. The record is from RNAcentral.
UAAUACAAGAUUUGCAUAUUUUGAUUAAAAGAAUUAGUUUAAAAUUUAAAUGGUUAGAUCUUAAUUCAACGAUUAGUCACUAACUUUUUUAAUUGCAUGAAUACUCCAUGGUCCCAAAUCUGGUUUGACCUAAUUUUAUUGUGAUCCACUUGUGAGCACAUGGGUACAAAGAAUGCACAUGAAUGAUGUUCAUGUCCACUAUAUGACACAUUGAC